Molecule: ribosomal RNA, 490 nt
Filed under: uncultured bacterium
Lineage: Bacteria
Description: partial 16S ribosomal RNA
Rfam family: Bacterial small subunit ribosomal RNA
Source: RNAcentral
AUUGAACGCUGGCGGCAUGCCUUACACAUGCAAGUCGAACGGCAGCAUGAUCUAGCUUGCUAGAUUGAUGGCGAGUGGCGAACGGGUGAGUAAUACAUCGGAACGUGCCCUGUAGUGGGGGAUAACUAGUCGAAAGAUUAGCUAAUACCGCAUACGACCUGAGGGUGAAAGUGGGGGACCGCAAGGCCUCAUGCUAUAGGAGCGGCCGAUGUCUGAUUAGCUAGUUGGUGAGGUAAAGGCUCACCAAGGCGACGAUCAGUAGCUGGUCUGAGAGGACGAUCAGCCACACUGGGACUGAGACACGGCCAAGACUCCUACGGGAGGCAGCAGUGGGGAAUUUUGGACAAUGGGCGAAAGCCUGAUCCAGCAAUGCCGCGUGUGUGAAGAAGGCCUUCGGGUUGUAAAGCACUUUUGUCCGGAAAGAAAUGGCUCUGGUUAAUACCUGGGGUCGAUGACGGUACCGGAAGAAUAAGGACCGGCUAACUACGUG